GCCUGGCUGGCUCAGCUGGUAGAACGUGUGACUCUUGAUCUCAAGGUUGUGAGUUCGAGCCCCAUGUUGGGUA
RNAcentral lists this transfer RNA (73 nucleotides) under Ailuropoda melanoleuca (giant panda). It matches the Rfam family "tRNA". Rfam says of the family: Transfer RNA (tRNA) molecules are approximately 80 nucleotides in length. Their secondary structure includes four short double-helical elements and three loops (D, anti-codon, and T loops). The record is from Rfam by way of RNAcentral. Lineage: Eukaryota; Metazoa; Chordata; Mammalia; Carnivora; Ursidae.